CCUUUGUUGGUGGUGCAGCUUGGGAGUCGGGCCCGUGUAGAGCCUCACUUCAUGAGAGAUGGUCAAUUUCGUGGAGUUUGGUCUAUGACGGGGGUGCGACUUUGCUUUAAGCGCGACCACAUUUAGUUCACUUCAUAUUUGGCGUCACAGGAACCGGGUGUUGUGCGUCCUCUUGCCCUGCGACUUGGAGACAGUCGGUGCUCCUCGCUGUUCUUGGUACCUGUGGAUCCAUCUGUUGGCCUGUCUGCGGGCUGCUGCUUAUAUAGCCUAAGUUGCCGAUUAAGAGAAUACGUGUGUGUGUGUGUGUGUGUGCGUGCGCGAAUGUGUGACGUUUUUCCUUUACUUUGAGUUCUUGGUUUGUUUUAAUAAGGAGAAAGUGAGAGUUCUCUGUUUGUUUUUGUUAAUUUUGUAUUUUCUUUCUUUUGUUUGUUUUGGCUCACCCCACACCACUUGGGCCGCCCAACGUGCGGGUUGCCCCCAAAUAGCUCUUGUUUGCCGUGCGUAAACGUAAAACACAAGUGUGCAGUGGUAUUGGUGUGGGUUUGCUGUGCUUUGUAUUUUCAUUUUAUUAUUUAAUUUUGGUUUGCUGUGCUGUGUACAACUAGUGGGGGAAAACAGUGGCCUCCUUGGCCCAUG
Long non-coding RNA from Engraulis encrasicolus (European anchovy), 636 nucleotides. RefSeq lists it as uncharacterized. The record is from RefSeq and is a predicted model, not a curated record. The transcript has 3 exons. Lineage: Eukaryota; Metazoa; Chordata; Actinopteri; Clupeiformes; Engraulidae.